RNAcentral lists this transfer RNA (80 nucleotides) under Nephroselmis pyriformis. It matches the Rfam family "tRNA". Rfam says of the family: Transfer RNA (tRNA) molecules are approximately 80 nucleotides in length. Lineage: Eukaryota; Viridiplantae; Chlorophyta; Nephroselmidophyceae; Nephroselmidales; Nephroselmidaceae. The record is from RNAcentral.
GAGGGGUACCCAAGCGGUCAACGGGAUCAGACUGUAAAUCUGACGGCUCAGCCUUCGCAGGUUCGAAUCCUGCCCCCUCC